This 1416-nucleotide ribosomal RNA is filed under the name Triticum aestivum (bread wheat). RNAcentral's name for it is "partial small subunit ribosomal RNA". Lineage: Eukaryota; Viridiplantae; Streptophyta; Magnoliopsida; Poales; Poaceae. The record is from RNAcentral.
AUGGAGGCGCAACUGCUGUCUCGGCUCCUCAUCCUCCUCCUCUGCUUCAUCAUCGUCAUCUUCUCCGGCGAGGCGGCCCCGACGACCCUGGUCACCAGCCUCCCAGGCUUUGACGGCGCCCUGCCGUUCCGUCUUGAGACCGGGUACGUGACUGUGGACGAUGAGCACGGCUCAGAGCUCUUCUACUACUUCAUCGAGUCGGAGGGUGACCCACGGCGUGACCCUGUCCUCCUCUGGCUCACCGGCGGCGACCGCUGCAGCGUGCUCAGCGCACUGCUCUUCGAGAUGGGCCCGCUGAGGUUCGUGAUCGAGCCCUACGACAGCGCCGCCGGGACCGUGCCGCGGCUGCACUACCACCCCUACUCCUGGACCAAGGCCGCCAGCGUCCUCUUCGUCGACUCGCCCGUCGGCGCCGGCUUCUCCUUCUCCCGGGACCCCAGAGGGUACGACGUCGGAGAGGUCUCUUCUUCGCUGCAGCUCAAAAUGUUCCUCACCAAGUGGUUCACUCAGCAUCCCGAUUUCCUCUCAAAUCAUUUCUAUGUCGGGGGAGACUCGUACGCCGGAAAGUACGCACCAAUCGUCACGCAGAAGAUCUCAGAAGAUAUUGAAGCGGGAGUGAAGCCGACAAUUAAUCUCAAGGGCUAUCUGGUAGGCAACCCGUUUACGGGUGAGGCCAUUGAUAUGGAUUCUAGAGUGCCAUAUCUUCAUGGAGUGGGAGUCAUUUCCGAUCAGUUAUAUGAGACAAUAACGGAGCACUGCCAUGGGGAAUGUUAUGACAACCCCAAGAAUGUGAUCUGCGCUCAAGCUAUGGACAGGUUUAAGGCGUUGCUUGAAGAAAUUUAUGACUCCCAUAUUUUGGAUAAAAAGUGCAAUUAUCUGUCUCCCACACCAAACGAUGAGACUACACAAGGCAGGAUCCUCCAACAAGAAACUGGAGCACUGAAACAUCCACCACCUCGGUUUCCAGUGGAUUGCCAUAGCUAUAUUACCUACCUGAUAUAUGUUUGGGCUAACAACAACAUCAUACGGGAAAAACUUGGAAUCAAGGAGGGGAGCAUGGGCGAAUGGGUGAGGUGCCAUGAAAAAGACCUACCUUUCACCCAUGACAUUGAGAGCAGUAUAAAGUACCAUCGUAAUAUUACGUCAAAAGGUUAUCGUGCCUUGGUAUAUAGUGGAGACCAUGAUGCUGUUGUACCUUUUUUGGGUACACAGUCUUGGGUAAGAUCACUCAAUUUCUCCAUUAUGGAUGAAUGGAGGGCUUGGCAUCUUGAUGGACAAUCCGCUGGAUUCACAAUAGCAUAUACAAAUAACAUGACGUUCGCCACCGUAAAGGGUGGUGGACACACUGCACCGUCGUACCAACCAGAGAGAUGCCUCGCAAUGCUUAGGCGUUGGAUUUCCAAUGAGCCACUCUGA